Bacillus rossius redtenbacheri is the source of this 1438-nucleotide long non-coding RNA. RefSeq lists it as uncharacterized. The record is from RefSeq and is a predicted model, not a curated record. Lineage: Eukaryota; Metazoa; Arthropoda; Insecta; Phasmatodea; Bacillidae. The transcript has 2 exons.
AUAUUCGUUUACAGAUUGAUUUGAGCAUUAUAGUCGCUCUUUUUUUUUUCGGUUUGUAGUAGAUUUUGGUCGAGUGAAAGAUGGAUUUUACAAUGGAGUUUGAUUUAUCAUUUUGAAUUAUUUUCCUAUAUGAUUGUGAAUUAAGAAGCCGAUGAAGAUGCCUGUGAAUACACAUCAAUGUUUUGUGUCUUCGUGCAGGAACAGUAUUACUGUUAAUCCUGAUGUGACAACAUUCAGAUUUCCAUGAAGCCGAAGCAAGUUAUUGAAGUGGAUUGCUGCAAUUGGCUAUGACCUUGAUGCCAGUAAUGCUGAAACAUUUAAAACUAAAUAUGUAUGUUCCGAACAUUUUGAUAUUGGAGCUUUCACUACAUGUGACUGCAUCAAAUUGAAUCGUGGUGCUGCUACAACAUAUUUUAAUUCUGUGGACAGUGAAGUAUGGAUCUAUUGUUAUAAUUUAUUAUGUCUAGAAUGCUGCCAAAUAUAGGUGAAAUGUUUAUGUUACAUAACAUAACUUGUAAGAUCUACUUGUGCAGAUAUAUAUUUUCACCUGCCUCUAAGGUCCUUUGUUAUUCACAGGUAGCAUUUACAUGUGAUGAAGCAGUAUUUAACAUUAUUGGUCAACAUGCAGUCCAUCAUUACAACCUUUGUACAGGCGCAUACAAACAUAUAUGUGUGGGGUAUUUCACACUUUUUAUUUGAUGUUAAAGAUUGGUAUGGUGACCGGGAUACUUUUUUUUAUUAAACCUCCUACACAGUUCUCUACUGUUUCCCUUAUCUGUUGCCUUAACAUUUUUUUCCGAUCAGUCCAAUUCCUUGAAUCACAUUGCAAAAAAAGUCACAAUACAUGGGAUUGGGCCACUCUCUUCAAAGAAUUGUAAUUCGAGUUUAAACAUAGCAAGGCUGACCAUAAAUUGUAGAGGAAAAUUUAAAAUGUUGAUCUUCAACAUAUUUAUAACCUAUGAUCAUGUGAUGUAUAUACAGCUAGUUAGAAAGUAAGUUGUAGUAUAGUAUGCAAUUGAACCUUCAAUAAGUUCUACAUCCACACUUAAAAACUUAUUUUACUUGAUGUUUUAUGUUCAAUAACUAUUCAGUAUAAAGGUUUUUUUUUACAUUAUAAACUACAAAAGUAUUCCGAUUUGUAAAUGUAAUGAAAUUCCACUGAGCCCUCUACCUUUUUUUUAACUACCAUUUCUGCCGUGUGGCCUUUUUUUUCUUACUUUUGUGUUCAUUAUAAGUUACAACCACUCAUUUGAUUUAUUGUGUUAAAUUAAAUGAUAUUUAAAAUUGGAUGUCACUUCAUAAGAACAUUCAGGAUUACCUGUAUUCACAGCGCACAAUUAUACAAAAGUUUUUUAUGUAUGUAAAAGUGUUUUACGUAAGCCAGUGGACACAUACAUGUAUUGAGUAACAUGAGAAAAUUGAAAUAUCUAAAAUAAAA